RNAcentral lists this ribosomal RNA (465 nucleotides) under uncultured bacterium. Its description in RNAcentral is "partial 16S ribosomal RNA". It matches the Rfam family "Bacterial small subunit ribosomal RNA", at positions 28 to 507 of the family's 1533-position model. The record is from RNAcentral.
GACGAACGCUGGCGGCGUGCUUAACACAUGCAAGUCGAACGGAAAGGCCCUGCUUGCAGGGUACUCGAGUGGCGAACGGGUGAGUAACACGUGGGUGAUCUGCCCUGCACUUCGGGAUAAGCCUGGGAAACUGGGUCUAAUACCGGAUAGGAGCCAUUUUUAGUGUGAUGGUUGGAAAGUUUUUUCGGUGUAGGAUGAUCUCGCGGGCUAUCAGCGGGUUGGUGGGGUAAUGGCCUACCAAGGCGGCGACGGGUAGCCGGCCUGAGAGGGUGGACGGCCACACCGGGACUGUGCUACGGCCCACACUCCUACGGGAGGCAGAAGUGGGGAAAAUCGCACAAUGGGAGAAAGCCUGAUGCAACGACGCCGCGUGGGUGAUGAGGGCCUUCGGGUUGUAAACUCCUUUCGAGAGGGACGAAGCGUUUUGCGACGGUACCUAGAAAAGAAGGACCGGCUAACUACGUG